GGAACAGUAUUUUAUGUAAUAUAAAAACGGAUAAUAACUUUUGAAGAUGAUCUAGUUGCGAUAGCAUGACCAACAAAUAUUGUAUGAUCACAUAUUUUGAUAACCGAGUGAUUAUCGUGAUUAGACCAGGAUAACAAAAAUUACGCGAUAAAAUGGGAGACAUCCUGAAAUAUCCAAGUAAUUAAUCUUUAUACAAAUAGGCCGGCUUGUAAGACCGGGAAGAGCAAUAGCAAUAUCAAUUACUCUCAAUAAACCAAAGAAGAAAACGACAUGCACACACUAAUAAACGAAUUGUAUUAAAUUAUCCUCUACUCGUCUCGGGUCUCGUAACAUAUAAUACGUGAAUUAUUCUCGAGUAGAGCUCGAGUAGAGCCAGAGUUAUUAAAACGUUUCUGGUAUAGAGUUAUCACCAAACGGACGUCCCAUCCCGCAGCUACAGCACACUACUGAACCAGAUACCUCCCCCCGGCCCCUAUUUCUACCAAUUAUCCCCCUCUAUCAUAUUAAACAAGCUCACUCCAUUGCUCAAACAGAACACCAUUGAAUUUAAUUAACCAGCAUCAUCGGAUUUUGGGCAGGAAAAAAAAUUACCAGCAAAAAGUAGAGGCGUUUUUAAAAAAAAACUGAACAAUAACUGACCACUGUCAACUCGCGUCUGUCAGAAAAGCACCCGCGAACAAUCACCACUCACUUAGCCUCGGCUCCUAGCAAUACCUCGACAAUUAAUAACAUGAACAAUACUAAUCAGAAUGAAACUGAAAAUUACAACAAUUAUAAACAACAAAGUAUAAUGUCCUAAAUGGAUGCGUUAUUAUAAAUGACAAUCGGGCAGCUGAUCCCGCGGUUGGGUAGCGCCGCAGCGCCCCGGGAUCAAUAAACCGACGCCGGCCGUCGCCUUCUGUUCCUUCCUGGCGUCCAACGGAGCUUUACAGCCCAUCGGAGCAGUUGCCAUCGUCAGCGACCCAGUCUCCACCUCCACCAUCGUGGAUAUUCAGCACAGAUCACAUAACAGCAUUUGCGCGGUUCACCAUCGCCUGCUACUGAGCACGCGCAAUUUAUCUUUAAUCUUGGAUGCUGCUGAAAAUCUUUCCAGCUUUUUAUCUCAUCUGCUUUAGAUCCACGCAAUUAUUAUGUACCAUGUAAUGCAAGCUGAUCUGCAAGAUUAUCAGUACCCGCAGCCAAGUCAGACAAUUUACCCAUAGGAAGAGACUUGACGAGGCUUUCAAGUACGCGAUAAUUAAGAAGUUCAUAAGUCAGCGACUGGAGAAUCCU
Molecule: long non-coding RNA, 1272 nt
Organism: Cotesia glomerata
Lineage: Eukaryota; Metazoa; Arthropoda; Insecta; Hymenoptera; Braconidae
Exons: 5
Source: RefSeq, a predicted model, not a curated record